Molecule: ribosomal RNA, 666 nt
Filed under: uncultured bacterium
Lineage: Bacteria
Description: bacterial SSU rRNA
Rfam family: Bacterial small subunit ribosomal RNA
Source: RNAcentral
GAGAGGGAGCUUGCUUCCUUGAUCGAGUGGCGAACGGGUGAGUAACGCGUGAGGACCUGCCUCAAAGAGGGGGACAACAGUUGGAAACGACUGCUAAUACCGCAUAAGCCGGCAUCGGAAAAGGAGCAAUCCGCUUUGAGAUGGCCUCGCGUCCGAUUAGCUAGUUGGUGAGGUAACGGCCCACCAAGGCGACGAUCGGUAGCCGGACUGAGAGGUUGAACGGCCACAUUGGGACUGAGACACGGCCCAGACUCCUACGGGAGGCAGCAGUGGGGAAUAUUGCACAAUGGGGGAAACCCUGAUGCAGCGACGCCGCGUGGAGGAAGAAGGUCUUCGGAUUGUAAACUCCUGUUGUUGAGGAAGAUAAUGACGGUACUCAACAAGGAAGUGACGGCUAACUACGUGCCAGCAGCCGCGGUAAAACGUAGGUCACAAGCGUUGUCCGGAAUUACUGGGUGUAAAGGGAGCGCAGGCGGGCGAUCAAGUUGGAAGUGAAAUCCAUGGGCUCAACCCAUGAACUGCUUUCAAAACUGGUCGUCUUGAGUAGUGCAGAGGUAGGCGGAAUUCCCGGUGUAGCGGUGGAAUGCGUAGAUAUCGGGAGGAACACCAGUGGCGAAAGCGGCCUACUGGGCACCAACUGACGCUGAGGCUCGAAAGUGUGGGUAG